GAGGCGAACCGGGGGAACUGAAACAUCUAAGUACCCCGAGGAAAAGAAAUCAACCGAGAUUCCGAAAGUAGCGGCGAGCGAAAUUGGACUAGCCCUUAAGCUUUACACGCGUUAGACGAACGGUCUGGAAAGUCCGACGAUACAGGGUGAUAGUCCCGUAGUUGACGACGUGUGUUCAGUGAAAUCGAGUAGGGCGGGACACGUGAUAUCCUGUCUGAAUAUGGGGGGACCAUCCUCCAAGGCUAAAUACUACUGACUGACCGAUAGUGAACCAGUACCGUGAGGGAAAGGCGAAAAGAACCCCUGUGAGGGGAGUGAAAUAGAACCUGAAACCGUGUACGUACAAGCAGUAGGAGCAGGCUUGUCCUGUGACUGCGUACCUUUUGUAUAAUGGGUCAGCGACUUAUAUUCAGUGGCAAGGUUAACCAUCUAGGGGAGCCGUAGGGAAACCGAGUCUUAACUGGGCGUUCAGUCUCUGGAUAUAGACCCGAAACCAGGUGAUCUAGCCAUGGGCAGGUUGAAGGUUGAGUAACAUCAACUGGAGGACCGAACCGACUAAUGUUGAAAAAUUAGCGGAUGACUUGUGGCUAGGGGUGAAAGGCCAAUCAAACCUGGAGAUAGCUGGUUCUCCCCGAAAGCUAUUUAGGUAGCGCCUCGGACGAAUACUACUGGGGGUAGAGCACUGUUAAGGCUAGGGGGUCAUCCCGACUUACCAACCCUUUGCAAACUCCGAAUACCAGUAAGUACUAUCCGGGAGACACACGGCGGGUGCUAACGUCCGUCGUGGAGAGGGAAACAACCCAGACCGCCAGCUAAGGUCCCAAAUUACUACUAAGUGGGAAACGAUGUGGGAAGGCUCAGACAGCCAGGAUGUUGGCUUAGAAGCAGCCAUCAUUUAAAGAAAGCGUAAUAGCUCACUGGUCGAGUCGGCCUGCGCGGAAGAUGUAACGGGGCUAAGUAGUAAACCGAAGCUGCGGCAAUAUACUUUUGUAUAUUGGGUAGGGGAGCGUUCUGUAAGCGGUUGAAGGUGUGUGGUAACGCAUGCUGGACGUAUCAGAAGUGCGAAUGCUGACAUGAGUAACGAUAAAGGGGGUGAAAAACCUCCUCGCCGGAAGACCAAGGGUUCCUGUCCAACGUUAAUCGGGGCAGGGUAAGUCGACCCCUAAGGCGAGGCCGAAAGGCGUAGUCGAUGGGAAACGGGUUAAUAUUCCCGUACUUCUUACAAUUGCGAUGGGGGGACGGAGAAGGCUAGGUGGGCCUGGCGACGGUUGUCCAGGUUCAAGUGCGUAGGCUUAAGAGUUAGGUAAAUCCGGCUCUUUUUAAGGCUGAGACACGACGUCGAGCUACUACGGUAGUGAAGUCAUUGAUGCCAUGCUUCCAGGAAAAGCCUCUAAGCUUCAGAUUGUAAGGAAUCGUACCCCAAACCGACACAGGUGGUCGGGUAGAGAAUACCAAGGCGCUUGAGAGAACUCGGGUGAAGGAACUAGGCAAAAUGGUACCGUAACUUCGGGAGAAGGUACGCUCUNNNNNNNNNNNNNNNNNNNNNNGAGAGUCGCAGAUACCAGGUGGCUGCAACUGUUUAUUAAAAACACAGCACUGUGCAAAAUCGUAAGAUGACGUAUACGGUGUGACGCCUGCCCGGUGCCGGAAGGUUAAUUGAUGGGGUUAGACUUCGGUCGAAGCUCUUGAUCGAAGCCCCGGUAAACGGCGGCCGUAACUAUAACGGUCCUAAGGUAGCGAAAUUCCUUGUCGGGUAAGUUCCGACCUGCACGAAUGGCGUAAUGAUGGCCACGCUGUCUCCACCCGAGACUCAGUGAAAUUGAAAUCGCUGUGAAGAUGCAGUGUACCCGCGGCUAGACGGAAAGACCCCGUGAACCUUUACUACAGCUUGGCACUGAACAUUGACCCUACAUGUGUAGGAUAGGUGGGAGGCUUUGAAGCACGUACGCCAGUAUGUGUGGAGCCGUCCUUGAAAUACCACCCUUGUAGUGUUGAUGUUCUAACGUCGACCCCUUAUCGGGGUUGCGGACAGUGCCUGGUGGGUAGUUUGACUGGGGCGGUCUCCUCCCAAAGAGUAACGGAGGAGCACGAAGGUGGGCUAAUCACGGUUGGACAUCGUGAGGUUAGUGCAAUGGCAUAAGCCCGCUUGACUGCGAGAAUGACAAUUCGAGCAGGUGCGAAAGCAGGUCAUAGUGAUCCGGUGGUUCUGAAUGGAAGGGCCAUCGCUCAACGGAUAAAAGGUACUCCGGGGAUAACAGGCUGAUACCGCCCAAGAGUUCAUAUCGACGGCGGUGUUUGGCACCUCGAUGUCGGCUCAUCACAUCCUGGGGCUGAAGUCGGUCCCAAGGGUAUGGCUGUUCGCCAUUUAAAGUGGUACGCGAGCUGGGUUUAGAACGUCGUGAGACAGUUCGGUCCCUAUCUGCCGUGGGCGUUGGAAGAUUGAAGGGGGCUGCUCCUAGUACGAGAGGACCGGAGUGGACGAACCUCUGGUGUUCGGGUUGUGUCGCCAGACGCAUUGCCCGGUAGCUAAGUUCGGAAUCGAUAACCGCUGAAAGCAUCUAAGCGGGAAGCGAGCCCUGAGAUGAGUCUUCCCUGAUACUUUAAGUAUCCUAAAGGGUUGUCGGAGACUACGACGUUGAUAGGUCAGGUGUGUAAGUGCUGUGAGGCAUUGAGCUAACUGAUACUAAUUGCCCGUGAGGCUUAACCAUACAACACCCAAGGGGUUU
This 2726-nucleotide ribosomal RNA is filed under the name Vibrio parahaemolyticus. RNAcentral describes it as "bacterial LSU rRNA". It matches the Rfam family "Bacterial large subunit ribosomal RNA". Lineage: Bacteria; Pseudomonadati; Pseudomonadota; Gammaproteobacteria; Vibrionales; Vibrionaceae. The record is from RNAcentral.